UACGUAGGGCGCAAGCGUUGUCCGGAAUUAUUGGGCGUAAAGAGCUCGUAGGUGGUGUGUCGCGUCUGCCGUGAAAACCCGGGGCUUAACUCCGGGUCUGCGGUGGAUACGGGCAGACUAGAGGCAGGUAGGGGAGAACGGAAUUCCCGGUGUAGCGGUGAAAUGCGCAGAUAUCGGGAGGAACACCCGUGGCGAAGGCGGUCUCCUGGGGCCUUCUUGACGCUGAGGCGCGAAAGCUGGGGGAGCGAACGGG
This 253-nucleotide ribosomal RNA is filed under the name uncultured bacterium. Its description in RNAcentral is "partial 16S ribosomal RNA". It matches the Rfam family "Bacterial small subunit ribosomal RNA", at positions 524 to 776 of the family's 1533-position model. The record is from RNAcentral.